This 362-nucleotide unclassified non-coding RNA is filed under the name soil metagenome. Its description in RNAcentral is "partial contains 5.8S ribosomal RNA, internal transcribed spacer 2, and large subunit ribosomal RNA". The stretch from base 1 to 120 matches the Rfam family "5.8S ribosomal RNA", at positions 35 to 154 of the family's 154-position model. The record is from RNAcentral.
GAUGAAGAACGUAGCGAAAUGCGAUAAGUAAUGUGAAUUGCAGAAUUCAGUGAAUCAUCGAAUCUUUGAACGCACCUUGCGCUCCUUGGUAUUCCGAGGAGCAUGCCUGUUUGAGUGUCAUUAAUAUAUCAACCUUCUCUUUUUUGGGUUGUUUGGAUGUGGGGGUUUGCUGGCCUCUUAAAUGAUUCAGCUCCCCUGAAAUGCAUUAGCAGAACAACCUGUUCAUUAGCGUGAUAAUUAUCUAUGCUAUUGAAUGUGAGGGCAGUUCAGCUUUCUAACCGUCCUUGGACAAUUCAUCAUUAAUGUGACCUCAAAUCAGGUAGGACUACCCGCUGAACUUAAGCAUAUCAAUAAGCGGAGGA